CCAAUAGUGAUAGUGCGGCCGUAAAGUCAUGUGGCUACCUUGGUAACGAAGCAAACGUACCCUUAAGCAGAGAGAGAGGGGGAGGGAGUGAUAAGGAAAGAUGGAUAAUAUGAUAUUGUGUUCCUUAUGGCCAUCUCAUAUGGCAAAUGGCUAUGUUUGCGAUUAAUGCUCUAAGAACUGCUUUCUGCAAUGGCUGUGAACUUCCUUAUAGACCAACUUGUGAUUGUGUUUUACGCAUUGUGGGUACUGGGUUCUCUACUUCUCUUAGUGAUACAUCGCUGAGGAUUGGCCAGAAUGAUUUAUAUAUAUAUAUAUCCCAAUAUGUAGUUUUCUUCGUAUAACCUCGAUCUAAAGCCUAAUGUUAAAACCCCCCCUACCCAUGGCCAUCAGCAACAGAUUCCAUUUCAACGACGUUUUCUCGUAACAUAGGACACAAGAAAAUAAAGGAGCUAGAUGAGCCAUGUGAUACCGUCCCAGUCCAGUCCCUGCAGCAAAUUUGGAGAACAUUCCCUUGUCCUCCCCACGGGAGAAAGGUCCCAAGCGCUACGGGCCAUGAUAGCCAUUGCACGCGUUGCCAGCAACCAUCCAACCCAAUCCAAUAUCCAUCCAUCGGCC
Molecule: long non-coding RNA, 615 nt
Filed under: Setaria viridis
Lineage: Eukaryota; Viridiplantae; Streptophyta; Magnoliopsida; Poales; Poaceae
Description: long non-coding RNA (SVIR_LNC000135)
Source: RNAcentral